This is a long non-coding RNA of Cyprinus carpio (common carp), 2209 nucleotides long. RefSeq lists it as uncharacterized. The record is from RefSeq and is a predicted model, not a curated record. Lineage: Eukaryota; Metazoa; Chordata; Actinopteri; Cypriniformes; Cyprinidae.
AGUAUGAAGCGCGGUGCGGUUUCCAUCCGCUCCACUAGGCGGCGGAAGCGGGUUUCACCUUCACUCGGAGUCUCACUUCCUCGGUUGUUUGUCAACAUGACGCUUGAUGACAGUCACAACAACUCCACGCUCAGAUCAUUCGCUCUUAAAUGUCUCUUAAACAGCACAUACUUCAGCUCGAGCGCAAACCAAACCUGUGGGAUACAACGCUCAACUAAGAAGUGAUGUGUUGUUGGUUGGAAGCAGAGCUCUGGACGUGUGGACAGAUGUUGACUGUAAUGAUGGACAUCUGCUCAUGGACAGUGUGUCCAAAAGUAUAACCGCUGCGGGUCACAGUGCUGGAAGCUCCAGGGGGAGACCGUACUGAUAUCCCCCCUUCUUCAGGCGCGCCUUCACACACACUCCUCCAUUCACUCGUAUCGCAGAGACCUGGCUGGGAUCGAACCAGCAACCUCUGAACCGUGAGGCAGCGCUCUUACCUGCGAGCCACAGAUCUCUUGCUGGAGCACCUGAAGGAAGUUAUAUUUGACUGUGUACCUGUGAUUACCCAAUAAAGAAGUUAAAAUAAGCUGGGUAUAUGAUUUUUGGAGGUGGGAUUUGAACUCAUGUCUCCAUCACAGUCUCAUCCUCAGAGGAUGUGUGUUUAUCCACUAACCCAUCAUGAAUUUCAUGCUGCGUUUUAGUGUUUCAGUGACUUUGUUGGCUGAGAUCAAUUUAAAGUAAGCAAUAGUCUGAUUUGAGUCUGUGGAGCUGAUGAACAUUUCGAACAGGCUUUUAUUGAGAGAUUUGUUGUAAAUGAUGAAUAAUAAUCAUGGGGUUUGAACCAGGACUUUCAUGUUUGUGACUGAAGACUUCAACCACUGAGCCACAGAAGCAGUGAUGUUGUUUUUUGAUUUUAAAGUCAUUUAGAUUUAUUUUAAAGUUUAUAUUGUUGUAGGUUUAAGCUGAGUAAAAGACGUUUAAUGCCAAUUUGAACACAUCUCUGGUGCAGCUUCAUGAGUCAAAAUCCCAUGUAUAGCCACUGCACCACUGUGCUUCAGAUAAAACGGAUGGUUUACUAUCGUUUUAUGUUUGUAAUGUAAACCUCAUUUUCAGUAAAACUUGCUGGAUUUGACACAGUUCUUUUUUACACCCAAAGGCGUGAAACAAUUAUCCUCUGUACCACAGAGAUUGUGCUGAAUUCACUGUUGUCUUUGGUCUUUCACAUGAGCAUUUAUUAUAAUCAAUGCAGCAUGUCAUUCACAAAAAUCACCACAGGAGGGCGACACCAGUUUAGGUUUAUUUGACUGGACUGUAAUUCACAAAACUCACCACAACGUGUCUAAUGAGUCUACUGUGACCCAAGACUAACGAACGCCCUCCUGUGGUGUUUUUUGUGCAUUGCUAUUUUAGCUCAUUGUUUGUGUGUGAUUUUGUUCUGUCCUCUUCUACUAAAACAAACUGAAGUGCAAAAAAGUCAGAGGACCUAAAGCAAGCCCUCCUGUGGUGAUUUUUGGGAAUUACACCGCUGCAAAUCGAGUCUAAUGAACUUAAACAGGAAUUUGUUCUGUUCUAUCUGUUUUUGUUUAAAUACAUAUUUUAAAAAAAUCAACAAUUUUUCACGAAUAGCAGAAUGAGAGAAACUGAAGUGCGGUUUUUCAUCCGCUCCACGAGGCGGCGCAAGCGGGCUUCAGCUUCAGUCUGACGCCUUCGACUGCGUGACAACAUGACGCUCGAGAGUCACAACAACAACAACACGUGCGGAUCCUGCAGAUGAGAGCUGUCAAUGAAGUUUAACAACAUUUUUUCAGCUAAUCUGCGAAUAAAUCCGACACACGGUCCGAUGAAACGCUGGAAUCGAGUGUGACGCGACUCACCUAAGAAGUGAUGUGUUGUUGGUUGGAAGCAGAGCUCUGGACGUGUGGACAGAUGUUGACUGUAAUGAUGGACAUCUGCUCAUGGACAGUCUGUGCAAAAGUAUAACCGCUGCGGGUCACAGUGCUGGAAGCUCCAGGGGGAGACCGUACUGAUAUCCCCCUUCUUCAGGCGCGCCUUCACACACACUCCUCCAUUCACUCGUAUCGCAGAGACCUGGCUGGGAUCGAACCAGCAACCUCUGAACCGUGAGGCAGCGCUCUUACCUGCGAGCCACAGAUCUCUUGCUGGAGCACCUGAAGGAACUUAUAUUUUACUGUUUACCUGUGAUUUCCCAAUAAAGAAGUUAAAGUAA